AACGAACGCUGGCGGCAUGCCUAACACAUGCAAGUCGAGCGCCUGUAGCAAUACAGGAGCGGCGCACGGGUGAGUAACGCGUGGGAACCUACCCUUAGGUUCGGAACAACCGCGGGAAACUGCGGCUGAUACCGGAUGAUGUCUUCGGACCAAAGAUUUAUCGCCUUUGGAGGGGCCCGCGUCGGAUUAGGUAGUUGGUGAGGUAACGGCUCACCAAGCCUACGAUCCGUAGCUGGUCNGAGAGGAUGACCAGCCACACUGGGACUGAGACACGGCCCAGACUCCUACGGGAGGCAGCAGUGGGGAGUAUUGGACAAUGGGGGCAACCCUCGAUCCAGCAAUGCCGCGUGGGUGAUG
Molecule: ribosomal RNA, 357 nt
Filed under: uncultured bacterium
Lineage: Bacteria
Description: bacterial SSU rRNA
Rfam family: Bacterial small subunit ribosomal RNA
Source: RNAcentral